Molecule: ribosomal RNA, 442 nt
Filed under: uncultured bacterium
Lineage: Bacteria
Description: partial 16S ribosomal RNA
Rfam family: Bacterial small subunit ribosomal RNA
Source: RNAcentral
CCUACGGGUGGCAGCAGUGGGGAAUAUUGGGCAAUGGGCGCAAGCCUGACCCAGCAAUGCCGCGUGAAGGAAGAAGGCUUUCGGGUUGUAAACUUCUUUGACAGGGGAAGAGCAGAAGACGGUACCCUGAAAACAAGCCACGGCUAACUACGUGCCAGCAGCCGCGGUAAUACGUAGGUGGCAAGCGUUGUCCGGAUUUACUGGGUGUAAAGGGCGUGUAGCCGGGAAGGCAAGUCAGAUGUGAAAUCCGGAGGCUCAACCUCCGAAUUGCAUUUGAAACUGUUUUUCUUGAGUACUGGAGAGGUAAGUGGAAUUCCUAGUGUAGCGGUGAAAUGCGUAGAUAUUAGGAGGAACACCAGUGGCGAAGGCGGCUUACUGGACUGUAAAUGACGCUGAGGCUCGAAAGCGUGGGGAGCAAACAGGAUUAGAUACCCCUGUAGUC